Molecule: ribosomal RNA, 187 nt
Organism: Monodelphis domestica (gray short-tailed opossum)
Lineage: Eukaryota; Metazoa; Chordata; Mammalia; Didelphimorphia; Didelphidae
Rfam family: Bacterial large subunit ribosomal RNA
Source: Rfam
UCAAUGGAACAAGUUACCCCAGGGAUAACAGCGCAAUCCUAUUUAAGAGCCCAUAUCAACAAUUAGAGUUUACGACCUCAAUGUUGGAUCAGGACACCCAAAUGGUGUAGCCGCUAUUAAAGGUUCGUUUGUUCAAUGAUUAAAGUCCUAUGUGAUCUGAGUUCAGACCAGAGAAAUCCAGGUCAGU